Symphalangus syndactylus (siamang) is the source of this 3725-nucleotide RNA transcript. It is a transcript of the gene named pyridine nucleotide-disulphide oxidoreductase domain 2, with no coding region annotated. Lineage: Eukaryota; Metazoa; Chordata; Mammalia; Primates; Hylobatidae. The record is from RefSeq and is a predicted model, not a curated record.
AUUGUGGAAAAUACAGAAAAACAUAAAGGAAAAAACUCCAAUCCUCUGAGCCCACCACUGUUCAGGACCCCUGCUUUUCACCUACUAUUUCCCUUUAGUUUUUAGCAGCGGCUGGAUGUGAUAUGUCUAGUUUAACCAGUCCCCUUGAUCUUUCUAUAUAAUAAAUAACACAGGGGUGAACAUCCUGAAUCAGAACUUAGCAGAGAUGCUCACAUGCGGGGUAACUGUCCAUGGUGUGUGGAGGGGUCCUCGGAACCCCCUCUUAGGAUCAUCUCCACAUACUCUCCCAGUUCUGAGAUUCGUUACCGAUAGCAGGUUUCCGUCACACUGCGAUAUCAGAGCAGUGCAGGAACUCUCCGCUCCGAGGGGUUUUUCCUCCUAGGGGAACACUCUGCUAAGUAAUGGGCAGAGAACAAAGGGGCUCCUAAUUCAAGGCAGGCCUAAGGGAGGGUCAGAAAGAACUUUAGCUGGAGGUAUUUACAGAUGUGACCUCGAAUCCUUGGGGAUUCUUGGAAAAUGGGCAAGGUGCCAAAAGAGGAGAAAUGGCCAGGCCUUCAAAAUAGAAAAACCCGGAGAAUUACAGAUAGUGAACUUGCCCCUAAGCCCUCAUUGAGGGGUGUGUUUGAGCAUUUAGGGGAGGACUCCAGUGCUCCUCAGUGACAGACACAGCCGCCUCUGCGGUGUCUGAAGGCCCUGGUCAUGGUGACGCUAGAUGGCCGCUCUGGGCGCCUCCUGUGGGUGUAGAGGCAUCACCACUCUGCACUGGCAGACUCAGCAUGGAGUCGGAGCAGAGUCUGGCAUGAGCACUUGCCAUCCCAGGCGUUUCAGUUCUGACUGAAGGGAGACGCACAGGGGAGGAGAGGGCCCUUUCGAGCUCCGCUCUGCCUCCACCACUCAUUCCCUAACCCCGCAGCCUCGGCGCCCUCAUCUAUAAAAUGGGGAGUUUUGCCUACAGGGUUCAGCACAGUGCCGGCCCGACAUAGGAACCCCAGUGGAUUAUCAGUUUUGCCAUUAUCCCCUGCAUCCUGGAGGUGACACCGCCUGGUUAAUAAGCAACCCCUCCAAGCCGCAGGGCAGUAGGAGGCUGGCCUGUGGCCAAGAAUGCAUGGUGGAGGGGGCCUGGAGGGGGACUGCAGCUCCUCCUCUUCCUGCUUCCUCCCUGCUCCACCCCGAGCCUAGGGCAGCACAAAAGCCAAUCGCUAGCAAACUUCCUGCCUAGCAAGGCCCUGCCUGGGGCAGAAAUGGCUGCAAGUGGCCGAGGUCUCUGCAAGGCUGUGGCCGCCUCUCCCUUCCCGGCUUGGAGACGAGCUCACACGGAAGCCAAGGGAGGUCUGAAGCCUGAGUAUGAUGCGGUGGUGAUAGGAGCAGGACACAAUGGACUGGUGGCUGCAGCGUACCUACAGAGACUGGGGGUGAACACUGCCGUCUUCGAGAGGCGCCAUGUGAUCGGGGGUGCAGCUGUCACUGAGGAGAUCAUCCCAGGAUUUAAGUUCUCCCGCGCGUCCUACCUGCUCAGCCUGCUGAGGCCGCAGAUUUACACUGAUCUGGAGCUGAAGAAACAUGGGCUGAGGCUUCAUCUUCGAAACCCCCACUCCUUCACCCCCAUGCUGGAAGAGGGUGUAGGCAGCAAGGUGCCCAGGUCCCUUCUGCUGGGCACAGACAUGGCAGAAAACCAGAAGCAGAUCGCCCAGUUCUCCCGGAAGGAUGCCCAGGUCUUUCCCAAAUAUGAGGAGUUCAUGCAUCGCUUGGCAUUAGCCAUUUACCCUUUGCUGGAUGCGGCCCCUGUGGACAUGGCAGCCUUCCAGCGUGGCUCCCUGCUGCAAAGGAUGAGGUCGCUCUCCACCCUGAAGCCCCUGCUGAAGGCAGGCCGCAUCCUGGGAGCCCAGCUUCCCCGAUACUACGAGGUCCUCACAGCUCCCAUUACCAAGGUGCUGGAUCAGUGGUUCGAGUCUGAGCCUCUAAAAGCCACUCUAGCCACAGAUGCUGUGAUUGGAGCCAUGACAAGUCCCCACACUCCGGGGAGUGGGUAUGUGCUGCUGCACCAUGUGAUGGGGGGCCUGGAGGGGAUGCAGGGGGCCUGGGCCUACGUCCAGGGGGGCAUGGGUGCCCUCUCUGAUGCCAUCGCAAGCUCAGCCACCACACAUGGAGCAAGCAUCUUCACUGAAAAGACAGUGGCGAAGGUGCAGGUGAACAGUGAAGGCUGUGUUCAAGGAGUUGUGCUGGAAGAUGGCACAGAGGUGAGAAGCAAAAUGGUGCUGUCCAACACAUCACCGCAGAUCACCUUCCUGAAGCUGACGCCACAGGAGUGGCUUCCUGAGGAGUUCCUGGAGAGAAUCUCUCAGCUGGACACCCGGUCGCCUGUCACCAAGAUCAAUGUGGCCGUAGACAGGCUGCCCAGCUUCCUGGCGGCCCCCAAUGCUCCCAGGGGCCAGCCGCUGCCCCAUCACCAGUGCUCCAUCCACCUGAACUGUGAAGACACCCUCCUCCUUCAUCAGGCCUUUGAAGAUGCUGUGGACGGCCUGCCUUCCCACAGGCCUAUGAUUGAGCUCUGCAUCCCUUCCUCGCUGGACCCCACCCUGGCUCCUCCCGGCUGCCACGUAGUCUCCCUCUUCACUCAGUACACGCCCUACACGCUGGCUGGAGGCAAGGCCUGGGACGAGCAGGAGAGAGAUGCUUAUGCAGACAGAGUGUUCGAUUGCAUUGAGGUCUAUGCCCCUGGCUUCAAGGACUCUGUGGUUGGCAGAGACAUCCUCACACCACCAGAUUUGGAGAGAAUCUUCGGGCUUCCUGGAGGGAACAUAUUCCACUGUGCCAUGUCCCUGGACCAGCUCUACUUCGCCCGCCCCGUGCCCCUGCAUUCUGGCUACCGCUGCCCUCUCCAGGGCCUGUAUCUCUGUGGAAGUGGGGCUCAUCCUGGAGGAGGUGUGAUGGGAGCUGCUGGGCGAAAUGCAGCGCAUGUGGCCUUCAGGGACCUCAAGAGCAUGUGACCCUGAACCAGCUCUGACCCAGGAAGAAGACUCCACCCCUGAAUUCCAAGUGCUCCAUUGGAUCAGCUUCCCGGGAAGUUCAGCUUCGGGUGACAAUUGCCAAGUUCUUCUGUGGGACCUUUGUAAUACUCCUGCCCUGAUGUCUGGAAUGAGGGGAAAAGAGACCUGCUGAGCAGAGGAUGUCAUUCUGUGAGGGAGUGGAGACACAUGAAAUGAGAAAAAGGAAUGAAAAAUGCAAAGCAAGGAGAAACGCAAAUGGACAGCAAACCUGAAAAAAUAUUUAAACUCACCAGGAAUCUGUUAAAUGCAAUGAAAACCAAACGAUCAUGCUUUACCUAUAAAAUUGAGAAAAAAUAUUUGUAUAGAAAAUUACUGGUGUGGGCAAAAAAGACUCUCUUCUAUGCUGUUGACAGCGGCAUAAAUUUGUAUUUGAUCAUGAGACUCAAAAGCCAACAUCUGUGUGCUUUGUGGGUUAUUCCGCAUCUUAUCACUUAGCCUAAGGAAAACAUCAGAAACGUCCCUGAGGAUUCAGGUAGAAGGAUAUUCAUGCAGUAUUAUUUGCAAUGGCAAAAUACUGGAAACAGUGUAAAUGUCCCAAAAUAGAGAAUUAGUUAAAUUAAUCAUGGUAACGGCAUGUGAUAGAAUAUCAAACAAUAACUUUAAAAGUUACAUUUUUGAAAGUACUUUUCUUUUAUCACGUGGAAAAAAAAUGCUAAUAAAAGGUAAGAUACAAUGGGA